Molecule: ribosomal RNA, 467 nt
Filed under: uncultured bacterium
Lineage: Bacteria
Description: partial 16S ribosomal RNA
Rfam family: Bacterial small subunit ribosomal RNA
Source: RNAcentral
GACGAACGCUGGCGGCGUGCUUAACACAUGCAAGUCGACGGAAAGGCCCUGCUUUUGUGGGGUGCUCGAGUGGCGAACGGGUGAGUAACACGUGAGUAACCUGCCCUUGACUUUGGGAUAACUUCAGGAAACUGGGGCUAAUACCGGAUAGGAGCUCCUGCUGCAUGGUGGGGGUUGGAAAGUUUCGGCGGUUGGGGAUGGACUCGCGGCUUAUCAGCUUGUUGGUGGGGUAGUGGCUUACCAAGGCUUUGACGGGUAGCCGGCCUGAGAGGGUGACCGGCCACAUUGGGACUGAGAUACGGCCCAGACUCCUACGGGAGGCAGCAGUGGGGAAUAUUGCACAAUGGGCGGAAGCCUGAUGCGGCAACGCCGCGUGCGGGAUGACGGCCUUCGGGUUGUAAACCGCUUUCGCCUGUGACGAAGCGUGAGUGACGGUAAUGGGUAAAGAAGCACCGGCUAACUACGUG